Molecule: transfer RNA, 73 nt
Filed under: Bos taurus (domestic cattle)
Lineage: Eukaryota; Metazoa; Chordata; Mammalia; Artiodactyla; Bovidae
Rfam family: tRNA
About the family: Transfer RNA (tRNA) molecules are approximately 80 nucleotides in length.
Source: Rfam by way of RNAcentral
UCCGUGGUGGUCCAGUGGCUAAGACUCUGCACUCCCAGUGCAGGGGGCCUGGGUUCAAGUCCUGGUCAGGGGA